CAUACCCAACACUACGGAAUAGCCUUUGGAAACGAAGAGUAAUACCGUAUACGCCCUUCGGGGAAAGAUUUAUCGGAUUUGGAUCGGCCCGCGUUAGAUUAGGUAGUUGGUGGGGUAACGGCCUACCAAGCCUACGAUCUAUAGCUGGUUUUAGAGGAUGAUCAGCAACACUGGGACUGAGACACGGCCCAGACUCCUACGGGAGGCAGCAGUGGGGAAUCUUGGACAAUGGGCGCAAGUGAUCCAGCCAUGCCGCGUGAGUGAUGAAGGCCUUAGGGUCGUAAAGCUCUUUCGCCAGGGAUGAUAAUGACAGUACCUGGUAAAGAAACCCCGGCUAACUCCGUGCCAGCAGCCGCGGUAAUACGGAGGGGGUUAGCGUUGUUCGGGAUUACUGGGCGUAAAGCGUACGUAGGCGGAUUAGUCAGUCAGAGGUGAAAUCCCAGGGCUCAACCCUGGAACUGCCUUUGAUACUGCUAGUCUUGAGUUCGAGAGAGGUAAGUGGAAUUCCGAGUGUAGAGGUGAAAUUCGUAGAUAUUCGGAGGAACACCAGUGGCGAAGGGGCUUACUGGCUCGAUACUGACGCUGAGGUACGAAAGUGUGGGGAGCAAACAGGAUUAGAUACCCUGGUAGUCCACACCGUAAACGAUGAAUGCCAGUCGUCGGGUAGCAUGCUAUUCGGUGACACACCUAACGGAUUAAGCAUUCCGCCUGGGGAGUACGGUCGCAAGAUUAAAACUCAAAGGAAUUGACGGGG
This 754-nucleotide ribosomal RNA is filed under the name uncultured bacterium. Its description in RNAcentral is "bacterial SSU rRNA". It matches the Rfam family "Bacterial small subunit ribosomal RNA", at positions 125 to 918 of the family's 1533-position model. The record is from RNAcentral.